This is a non-coding RNA of Equus caballus (horse), 816 nucleotides long. Lineage: Eukaryota; Metazoa; Chordata; Mammalia; Perissodactyla; Equidae. The record is from RefSeq and is a predicted model, not a curated record.
UAUGCUACCUCUGGUGUAAGAAAGAAAGGGAAAGAAGAAAAUAUGCAUGUAUCUAGUUAUUCUUGCAAGAAAAAAAAACCACAGCAAAGUGAACCAAAACUAAUGAAAUGGUGGGUGAGGACAGGAAGUUUUAAAUUCCAGAGCCAUUUUAAUGUUUUACAUUAUCGGAAAGAUAAAAUUAAAUGUUAACAAAGAAGGAGACGAAUUGAAAAGGAAUGAAACCAGAGCUAUGAGCAUUUUAAAUGAAGACAUGUUGGUGAGUGCAGACUGGGCAAAAGGGCCGAGGUCCACACAGGAGUGAGGACCGCAGUGGGGGACCCAGCCAGCUGGCAGGGAAGCUCAAGUCCUCACUGACAUUGACUGUCAAGGCCACUGUCCUUGGUGCUGCCACACAGCUGGAUGCAAUCUUGGGGCCUCCCACCCCCAAAUCAAAUCGCGCUGUCAGAAAGCCAGGCUCGGCUCGGCCCCCUCUGCGUCCCCCUGCAGCAGCCCGGGGCCCCUCGGGGUCAGGCCACGGUUCAGAGGAGCUCCGGGGAGCAGCCCCUGCCUCCUCCCUUCCGCAGGCCUUAGCCCAGCAGAUUCCUCAGAGCAAAGAUAAGCUCCCGGCUCAGCCCAAGAACACUGAUGAAAUGGUGGGUGCUCCAGCAGCCAGCUUAAGCCAUAAUGCAUGGAAAUCUGCAAGGAUUGUGGAGCAGAAAGACAGAGGGAGCUUGCACACCUGAUUAUAUGUUGGCUUCUUCAUAACUGGCCUCAAUCAUCUCUACAUCUAGAGUCUUUUAAAAAUGUGAAUGAGUAUUAAAAGUCUGUCUUCUUUAA